Molecule: ribosomal RNA, 1314 nt
Filed under: Triticum aestivum (bread wheat)
Lineage: Eukaryota; Viridiplantae; Streptophyta; Magnoliopsida; Poales; Poaceae
Description: partial small subunit ribosomal RNA
Source: RNAcentral
AUGGCCGGAAGCCGCCGCCGCCGCCGCGGAAGAGCGCGGGUGCCGCAGCAGGGUGCCGAACCCUUGCCGCCGGAAGACACCGCUCUCAGCUCCAGAGAAGUUACCACUGUAGAGAUGCCGUCUAAGAACACCUGCCCCGCCUCAGCCUCUACCUCCCCACCAUUGUCUGGACCUCAUGUUUGUGCAGAUCUCGUGGACAGCCUGCUUCAUGAAAUUCUGCUUCACGAAAUUAUCGCUCUCUUUAACUCAUUCCAUGACUUCCUUGCUUUCAUUGGCACAUGCCACUCUUGGCGCACUGCAGUCUCUACCUUUCCAUCUGCGCAUACAUUCAGCUUCCCGCCACUUCACUUCAAACCAGAUGGUUCUUAUGUUCAUCCACAUAAUGGCGAUAUCAAGCCCAUCCUUUUAUCUAAUUGCAAAUGGCAGCUCAGUGAUCCUACCAAGAAAGACUUAUCCCUUGUGUGUUCAGUGCCUGAAAAUAGUCCAAAUACAAUGCACUAUUUGGGCUGUUCAUAUGGGUAUCUUAUCUUCUCCUACAAGGAGCACUGCCUCCUUGUCGAUGUGUACACUGGCACCAAGGUGAAUCCCCCUAAACUCCCAGCCAGCAACCAACUUGGAUACUUUUGUGGCAUAGGCAUCCUUACGGCUCCAUUAAUUUCACCCAACUCUCGCCUCCUCCUUUUCUCGAGGGCUUCCAUGUUUGAGUGGCAGGUUGGAACAAACUUCUGGUCCGAGCACCCUCUUGAUAUUGGUCGUGAACGCAUCUAUCAGAUUGUGUCCUUUAAAGAUGAUAUCUUUGUCAUAGAUGCUUUUCUGAGGCUCCACACUAUACACUUGUCACCUCAGUUCAGCAUGCGAGAAGUAGUAAUUCAAUGGGAGUUCCUGCCUAUUAACUCGUGGUUGGUGGUCUGUGGUGACAUGCUUCUCAUGGUUGUUCAAAGCUUAAGCUCCAGCGAAUCAGAUGUCUUAUUCAACUCAACCUUUAAGGUCUAUCGCCUCAAUUUUUCUAUUGAACCGGCAAAGUGGGUGAAGUUAGAGAAGUUGGAAAAUCAUGCGUUGUUUGUUAGUCUUGAUAGGAGGGACCCUACAUUCUGCUGCAUCAGCCCGGAAAGAUGGGGAGGAAAGAGUAACUGCAUUUAUUUUGCGAGGCUAUCUGAUGAUCCUGAUGAGACUUGGACUGCGGUCGAGCUUGGUCAGCCAGUACAAAAAAGAACAGUUCACCCCAUGUUCUAUGGUCGUGCGUCCCCUCCCGACUGCGGUCUACUAAGUAACCUUUGGGUGUUCCCCAGUUUAAUUUAUGGUUCUGGCCAGUAA